CCUACGGGGGGCAGCAGUGGGGAAUAUUGCACAAUGGGCGCAAGCCUGAUGCAGCCAUGCCGCGUGUGUGAAGAAGGCCUUCGGGUUGUAAAGCACUUUCAGCGGGGAGGAAGGCGUUAAGGUUAAUAACCUUGUCGAUUGACGUUACCCGCAGAAGAAGCACCGGCUAACUCCGUGCCAGCAGCCGCGGUAAUACGGAGGGUGCAAGCGUUAAUCGGAAUUACUGGGCGUAAAGCGCACGCAGGCGGUCUGUCAAGUCGGAUGUGAAAUCCCCGGGCUCAACCUGGGAACUGCAUUCGAAACUGGCAGGCAAGAGUCUUGUAGAGGGGGGUAGAAUUCCAGGUGUAGCGGUGAAAUGCGUAGAGAUCUGGAGGAAUACCGGUGGCGAAGGCGGCCCCCUGGACAAAGACUGACGCUCAGGUGCGAAAGCGUGGGGAGCAAACAGGAUUAGAUACCCGAGUAGUC
RNAcentral lists this ribosomal RNA (465 nucleotides) under uncultured Klebsiella sp. RNAcentral's name for it is "bacterial SSU rRNA". It matches the Rfam family "Bacterial small subunit ribosomal RNA", at positions 338 to 795 of the family's 1533-position model. Lineage: Bacteria; Pseudomonadati; Pseudomonadota; Gammaproteobacteria; Enterobacterales; Enterobacteriaceae. The record is from RNAcentral.